RNAcentral lists this ribosomal RNA (318 nucleotides) under Pseudomonas sp. Its description in RNAcentral is "bacterial SSU rRNA". It matches the Rfam family "Bacterial small subunit ribosomal RNA", at positions 67 to 386 of the family's 1533-position model. The record is from RNAcentral. Lineage: Bacteria; Pseudomonadati; Pseudomonadota; Gammaproteobacteria; Pseudomonadales; Pseudomonadaceae.
CGGAUGACGGGAGCUUGCUCCCUUGAUUCAGCGGCGGACGGGUGAGUAAUGCCUAGGAAUCUGCCUGGUAGUGGGGGACAACGUUUCGAAAGGAACGCUAAUACCGCAUACGUCCUACGGGAGAAAGCAGGGGACCUUCGGGCCUUGCGCUAUCAGAUGAGCCUAGGUCGGAUUAGCUAGUUGGUGGGGUAAUGGCUCACCAAGGCGACGAUCCGUAACUGGUCUGAGAGGAUGAUCAGUCACACUGGAACUGAGACACGGUCCAGACUCCUACGGGAGGCAGCAGUGGGGAAUAUUGGACAAUGGGCGAAAGCCUGA